UUUUAGCCCAGAAAGAAGUGAAAAGCCCGGACUACAAAAAAAUAAUUUUUAUUAUCCUGAAAGAGCGACUAAAAGAAGCUCCUUUCAGGAUUUAGAAAAAUAUUUUUUUUAGGGAGGACUUGAAACGGAGUGCUGGAUCUAGC
This 143-nucleotide unclassified non-coding RNA is filed under the name Flavobacterium segetis. RNAcentral describes it as "Flavo-1 RNA". The record is from RNAcentral. Lineage: Bacteria; Pseudomonadati; Bacteroidota; Flavobacteriia; Flavobacteriales; Flavobacteriaceae.